AUCGAACGCUGGCGGCAGGCCUAACACAUGCAAGUCGAGCGGAGCGGCGGUUGGGCGCGUAAUGCCUAGGACUCUGCCUGGUAGUGGGGGACAGCGUCCGGAACCGGGCGCUAAUACCGCAUACUAUCAGAUGAGCCCAGGUGGGUUUAGCUAGUUGGUGGGGUAAAGGCCUACCAAGGCGACGAUCCGUAACUGGUUGGAGAGGAUGAACAGUCACGCUGGAACGGAGACACGGUCCAGACUCCUACGGAAGGCAGCAGUGGGGAAUAUUGGACAAUGGGCGAAAGCCUGAUCCAGCCAUGACGCGUGUGUGAAGAAGGUCGUCGGAUUGUAAAGCACUUUGAGUUGGGAGGCGUUACCAACAGAAUAAGCACCGGCUAACUGCGUGCCAGCAGCCGCGGUAAUUC
Molecule: ribosomal RNA, 407 nt
Filed under: uncultured bacterium
Lineage: Bacteria
Description: partial 16S ribosomal RNA
Rfam family: Bacterial small subunit ribosomal RNA
Source: RNAcentral